RNAcentral lists this long non-coding RNA (1227 nucleotides) under Homo sapiens (human). RNAcentral's name for it is "non-protein coding LINC01515:2". Lineage: Eukaryota; Metazoa; Chordata; Mammalia; Primates; Hominidae. The record is from RNAcentral.
GCACUGGAGUGAAAAUACAGAAGUUGGUGCCCUUUGCAGCAGCCAGGAGUCCGACUCCUCCUCUUCCUGUGUGGAACCUGGAAUUCAAACGGCUGGGGCCUCACUCACGGCAUAUGGAACUAACCACGCCCCUAACUAAGAAGGCACACCUUAGUUGCAGUUAGCACACAAUUAAAGCAACUCUCCAAGUUUUACCUUAAAGUUCAAAAUUGCUAGGAGUUGAAACUACUAGAAAUAUAUUUACAUGCAAGAGUCAAAGAAACUUUGAACUAUUUAUGGCCUUUAAUAAUUAAGUAAGGUAUACUCCUGUGAUCAAGACUUGGAGCAUAUUUGUUUCUCUCUGCCUGGUUCCUCUAGAAAUUGGAAACUAUCAGAACAGAGACCAACUCCGUUUCCCGAUCCCUUUGCAAUCUGCAUUGAACCAUGAGUCAAGUUCUUGAUAAAGGAGUGAAAAUGGAUGACAUUUAAGGCACAUCUGAAGAUGGGGAAACCACAGCACAGAAUAAGGCUGGGCCCUUGAAUCAAUAAAUGAAGGAGAACUACUCAAGAGAACAAAACCACCAGCAAUAUCCACCUGUAUUUGUCUUUUCAUAAUGUGUGACACAUGUGCUCAUGGAUUAUUGUCCGAAGCAAGACAUGUGACCAAGCCUAACAUCAACUGGGUGAAGAGCUAUAUGUUCCUUUCUCAAGAGGCACUACAAGUGACAUGCCACUGGGCAGAUGGAGUCUCGCUCUGUCACCCAGGCUAGAGUGCAGUACCGCAAUCUCGGCUCGCUGCAAGCUCUGACUCCCAGGUUCACACCAUUCUCCUGCCUCAGCCUCCCAAGUAGCUGGCACUACAGGCGCCCACCACCAUGCCUGGCUAAUUUUUUAUAUUUUUAGUAGAGAAGGGGUUUCGCCGUGUUAGCCAGAAUGGUCUUGAUCUCCUGACCUCAUGAUCUGCCCACCUCGGCCUCCCAAAGUGCUGGGAUUACAGGCGUGAGCCACCGCGACUGGCCUAACAUAUUUUUAAAACCUGCAGAAUGUUUGUAUUACUUUUGUCAUAGUACAUAACAUUUAAAUGGAUUUCUUGUUUGUGUAUGUGUGUAUAUUCAUUCACAACACUGAUAGUUUUUCUGAAUAUUUCCUUUGGAUUUUAUUCUUUUCUCAUUCAACUAAAUAAGAACCUGCACCAUCUUUUUCUAGUGUAAAAAUUACAAUAUCUGAAGUGAAACUACUAGAAUAAAU